Molecule: ribosomal RNA, 462 nt
Filed under: uncultured bacterium
Lineage: Bacteria
Description: SSU rRNA
Rfam family: Bacterial small subunit ribosomal RNA
Source: RNAcentral
AGGACGAACGCUGGCGGCGUGCUUAACACAUGCAAGUCGAACGAAGCAGCAAUGCUUAGUGGCGGACGGGUGAGUAACACGUAGGUAACCUGCCCUGUAGUGGGGGAUACCCAGCCGAAAGGUUGGCUAAUACCGCAUUCGCUCGUAGCUUGAAAUAGUUACGAGGAAAGAUUUAUCGCUAUAGGAGGGGCCUGGGUCCGAUUAGCUAGUUGGUGAGGUAAUGGCUCACCAAGGCGACGAUCGGUAGCUGGUCUGAGAGGACGAUCAGCCACACUGGAACUGAGACACGGUCCAGACUCCUACGGGAGGCAGCAGUGGGGAAUUUUCCGCAAUGGGCGAAAGCCUGACGGAGCAACGCCGCGUGGAUGAUGAAGUCUUUCGGGACGUAAAUCCUUUCAGCAGGGACGAAAAAAUGACGGUACCUGCAGAAGAAGCAUCGGCUAACUACGUGCCAGCAGCCGC